This 513-nucleotide ribosomal RNA is filed under the name uncultured bacterium. Its description in RNAcentral is "partial 16S ribosomal RNA". It matches the Rfam family "Bacterial small subunit ribosomal RNA", at positions 28 to 523 of the family's 1533-position model. The record is from RNAcentral.
GACGAACGCUGGCGGCAUGCCUAAUACAUGCAAGUCGAGCGAACAGAUGAAGUGCUUGCACUUCUGACGUUAGCGGCGAACGGGUGAGUAACACGUAAGGAAUCUACCUAUAAGCGGGGGAUAACAUUCGGAAACGGGUGCUAAUACCGCAUAAUAUCUUCUUCCGCAUGGAAGAAGAUUGAAAGACGGCUCUGCUGUCACUUAUAGAUGACCUUGCGGUGCAUUAGUUAGUUGGUGGGGUAACGGCCUACCAAGACGAUGAUGCAUAGCCGACCUGGGAGGGUGAUCGGCCACAUUGGGACUGGGACACGGCCCAAACUCCUACGGGAGGCAGAAGUAGGGAAUCUCCCGCAAUGGGCGAAAGCCUGACGGAGCAAUGCCGCGUGAGUGAAGAAGGCCUUCGGGUCGUAAAACUCUGUUAUAAGAGAAGAACAAAUUGUAGAGUAACUGCUACAGUCUUGACGGUACCUUAUCAGAAAGCCACGGCUAACUACGUGCCAGCCGCCGCCGUAA